Molecule: ribosomal RNA, 501 nt
Filed under: uncultured bacterium
Lineage: Bacteria
Description: partial 16S ribosomal RNA
Rfam family: Bacterial small subunit ribosomal RNA
Source: RNAcentral
GAUGAACGCUGGCGGCAUGCCUAACACAUGCAAGUCGAGCGGGGGAAGGUAGCUUGCUACUGGACCUAGCGGCGGACGGGUGAGUAAUGCUUAGGAAUCUGCCUAUUAGUGGGGGACAACAUCUCGAAAGGGAUGCUAAUACCGCAUACGUCCUACGGGAGAAAGCAGGGGAUCUUCGGACCUUGCGCUAAUAGAUGAGCCUAAGUCGGAUUAGCUAGUUGGUGGGGUAAAGGCCUACCAAGGCGACGAUCUGUAGCGGGUCUGAGAGGAUGAUCCGCCACACUGGGACUGAGCCACGGCCCAGACUCCUACGGGAGGAAGCAGUGGGGAAUAUUGGACAAUGGGGGGAACCCUGAUCCAGCCAUGCCGCGUGUGUGAAGAAGGCCUUAUGGUUGUAAAGCACUUUAAGCGAGGAGGAGGCUACUCUAGUUAAUACCUAGGGAUAGUGGACGUUACUCGCAGAAUAAGCACCGGCUAACUCUGUGCCAGCCGCCGCCGUAA